GGAUGUAGCUCAGUGGUAAAGUGCAUGCUUAGCAAUGCUUAAGGCCCUGGGAUCAAUCCCCAGCACCA
This 68-nucleotide transfer RNA is filed under the name Marmota monax (woodchuck). Its description in RNAcentral is "tRNA.Ala". The record is from RNAcentral. Lineage: Eukaryota; Metazoa; Chordata; Mammalia; Rodentia; Sciuridae.